AGAACUGAAACAUCUUAGUACCCGGAGGAAGAGAAAGAAAAUUCGAUUCCCUUAGUAGCGGCGAGCGAAACGGGAAGAGCCCAAACCAACAAGCUUGCUUGUUGGGGUUGUAGGACACUCUAUACGGAGUUACAAAGGACGACAUUAGACGAAUCAUCUGGAAAGAUGAAUCAAAGAAGGUAAUAAUCCUGUAGUCGAAAAUGUUGUCUCUCUUGAGUGGAUCCUGAGUACGACGGAGCACGUGAAAUUCCGUCGGAAUCUGGGAGGACCAUCUCCUAAGGCUAAAUACUCUCUAGUGACCGAUAGUGAACCAGUACCGUGAGGGAAAGGUGAAAAGCACCCCGGAAGGGGAGUGAAAUAGAACCUGAAACCGUGUGCUUACAAGUAGUCAGAGCCCGUUAAUGGGUGAUGGCGUGCCUUUUGUAGAAUGAACCGGCGAGUUACGAUUUGAUGCAAGGUUAAGCAGUAAAUGUGGAGCCGUAGCGAAAGCGAGUCUGAAUAGGGCGUUUAGUAUUUGGUCGUAGACCCGAAACCAGGUGAUCUACCCUUGGUCAGGUUGAAGUUCAGGUAACACUGAAUGGAGGACCGAACCGACUUACGUUGAAAAGUGAGCGGAUGAACUGAGGGUAGCGGAGAAAUUCCAAUCGAACCUGGAGAUAGCUGGUUCUCUCCGAAAUAGCUUUAGGGCUAGCCUCAAGUGAUGAUUAUUGGAGGUAGAGCACUGUUUGGACGAGGGGCCCCUCUCGGGUUACCGAAUUCAGACAAACUCCGAAUGCCAAUUAAUUUAACUUGGGAGUCAGAACAUGGGUGAUAAGGUCCGUGUUCGAAAGGGAAACAGCCCAGACCACCAGCUAAGGUCCCAAAAUAUAUGUUAAGUGGAAAAGGAUGUGGCGUUGCCCAGACAACUAGGAUGUUGGCUUAGAAGCAGCCAUCAUUUAAAGAGUGCGUAAUAGCUCACUAGUCGAGUGACACUGCGCCGAAAAUGUACCGGGGCUAAACAUAUUACCGAAGCUGUGGAUUGUCCUUUGGACAAUGGUAGGAGAGCGUUCUAAGGGCGUUGAAGCAUGAUCGUAAGGACAUGUGGAGCGCUUAGAAGUGAGAAUGCCGGUGUGAGUAGCGAAAGACGGGUGAGAAUCCCGUCCACCGAUUGACUAAGGUUUCCAGAGGAAGGCUCGUCCGCUCUGGGUUAGUCGGGUCCUAAGCUGAGGCCGACAGGCGUAGGCGAUGGAUAACAGGUUGAUAUUCCUGUACCACCUAUAAUCGUUUUAAUCGAUGGGGGGACGCAGUAGGAUAGGCGAAGCGUGCGAUUGGAUUGCACGUCUAAGCAGUAAGGCUGAGUAUUAGGCAAAUCCGGUACUCGUUAAGGCUGAGCUGUGAUGGGGAGAAGACAUUGUGUCUUCGAGUCGUUGAUUUCACACUGCCGAGAAAAGCCUCUAGAUAGAAAAUAGGUGCCCGUACCGCAAACCGACACAGGUAGUCAAGAUGAGAAUUCUAAGGUGAGCGAGCGAACUCUCGUUAAGGAACUCGGCAAAAUGACCCCGUAACUUCGGGAGAAGGGGUGCUCUUUAGGGUUAACGCCCAGAAGAGCCGCAGUGAAUAGGCCCAAGCGACUGUUUAUCAAAAACACAGGUCUCUGCUAAACCGUAAGGUGAUGUAUAGGGGCUGACGCCUGCCCGGUGCUGGAAGGUUAAGAGGAGUGGUUAGCUUCUGCGAAGCUACGAAUCGAAGCCCCAGUAAACGGCGGCCGUAACUAUAACGGUCCUAAGGUAGCGAAAUUCCUUGUCGGGUAAGUUCCGACCCGCACGAAAGGCGUAACGAUUUGGGCACUGUCUCAACGAGAGACUCGGUGAAAUCAUAGUACCUGUGAAGAUGCAGGUUACCCGCGACAGGACGGAAAGACCCCGUGGAGCUUUACUGUAGCCUGAUAUUGAAAUUCGGCACAGCUUGUACAGGAUAGGUAGGAGCCUUUGAAACGUGAGCGCUAGCUUACGUGGAGGCGCUGGUGGGAUACUACCCUAGCUG
RNAcentral lists this ribosomal RNA (2022 nucleotides) under Staphylococcus aureus. RNAcentral describes it as "partial 23S ribosomal RNA". It matches the Rfam family "Bacterial large subunit ribosomal RNA", at positions 189 to 2211 of the family's 2925-position model. Lineage: Bacteria; Bacillati; Bacillota; Bacilli; Caryophanales; Staphylococcaceae. The record is from RNAcentral.